RNAcentral lists this ribosomal RNA (253 nucleotides) under uncultured bacterium. Its description in RNAcentral is "partial 16S ribosomal RNA". It matches the Rfam family "Bacterial small subunit ribosomal RNA", at positions 524 to 776 of the family's 1533-position model. The record is from RNAcentral.
UACGUAGGGGCCGAGCGUUGUCCGGAGUUAUUGGGCGUAAAGCGCGCGCAGGCGGCCUCGCGCGCCCGACGUGAAAGCCCCCGGCUUAACCGGGGAGGGUCGUUGGGGACGGCGGGGCUUGAGGGCGGGAGAGGGUGGUGGAAUUCCCGGUGUAGUGGUGAAAUGCGUAGAGAUCGGGAGGAACACCCGUGGCGAAGGCAGCUCGCUGGGACGGUACUGACGCUGAGACGCGAAAGCGUGGGGAGCAAACAGG